CGCGUCAGUGUGUAGGAGCCGCGGCCGCAUGAAUGAGCCGCCGCACGAGUACUACGCGUGCCUAUAAAAGCCGCCGCGCCAGCCGGGCUGCGGGAGGCGAGCGGGCGCGGGCGCAACACAGCUGACAGGUAAGCGGGACCGACCGACCAAUGGGCGACAGAUGGACGAUGCACGGACAUGGACUGGAAGGCAAGGAGGAGACCGACAGGAGGCAGGUUAGAGGGGCCCCAAAGGGGUGGGGUUGGGGACAGGGUGGAAGGGACGAGGGUCCCCUCGCAGCUGCUGGAGCUGGAGCCAGAGGCGUACGCAGAACCCCGAGCAGCACCUGCCUGCGCCCGGAUGGAGACGCAACCACUUCGGAGGAGCAUCGAUCAGAGGACCGACCAGAGUCCCUACGGCUUUUCCUGGGGCUCCUGCGCCAUCCUCCCAAGAAAGUGGGACGAAGGUGCUGGCGCCCCAGGAGACGCGCCCCUUCCUCUCCUCCCCGCAGAGCGGUGACUCAGCCUCGCUGCCCCCGGUCUGCUGAGCUGGGGCGCCGGCGAGAGACAGACGCCCACCUACCCGCCCCCGUGCCGCAGCUUCCUCAGGAUCCCUCCCCUCAUUCAGCCGGGGCGCCCCCUCCCCGUCCCGUCGAGCUGGUCCCUCCGCGCCCCCAACUUCCCGCCUCUGUAUGAGGAGCUGUCCUCUCAGGACCAGGCGGGGGCGGGGCCUCGGCCUGACUGCCCCGCCCCGCCCCCAUCACCCGCCCCUCCCCCCCCCGCAGCCGGAAGUGCCUCUCCGCAGGGACAUCUUUGACGUCACAGGGUUUUGACGUCAAGGGCCGCGUGCCUGUCCGCAAGCGCCGGGGCCGAGAAGGGUUGGAGACGCGGGGCAGAAAGAGCAGCAGCGCCCCCAGCUGUGGGCGACGGAGCCACCCUGCCCGGGCAGCGCGCCGGCACCUUGGCUCUAGACUGCUUACUGCCCGGGCCGCCCUCAGUAACAGUCUCCAGUCACGGCCACCGACGCCUGGCCCCGCCUCAGGACCGCGGACCCGGCCACCUGCCGCGCCCCCGGCCCCUCGGUCCCCGAAGAUCCCUCAGCCCCGCGAUCGCUGCCCGCGCCGCCGCUGUCCGCGGUGCUGAUCCAGCGAGGGCACCGCCAUUGGGCCGUCCCGUCCCCAGUCCCCAGGGGCUACUGAGGGGCUGCCGGCUCACACGCACUUCGCAGAGCCAAGAGCCCAGAGCCCCGUCCCUGCAGCGAGCGCCGCCCUCCGCCCGCACCGCCGCCGUCCCCCACUGUCCCCCCACCCCGCGGUCCUGACGUCAGCCCAACCCGAGCUGCCGUGGUGCCGUCAGCAGCGCGCGCCCCGCCCCCGCGUCUCCAGGGCAACCGUGGCUUUCGAUUGUUACUGUGGGAACCGGAGGUAACAGUCUACAGCCAUGGUCGCCCCGCAGCACGCCCACGCGCCGCGCCACGCAGCGCACCGCCCGGCGGGAUGGGGGAGACUCAGAUCAGGAGGAAGCGGAGGCGGCGUGUCGAGAGCCCAUGUGUCUGCGGGGGUGGCGGGAGGUGCCGCAUAGGGAGGCGGGCUACUCCGGAGCCGGGCAUCCAACGAGGCAGAGAAGGAAGCGGAGUAUGCUCUACGGAGUAUGUCUGACUGUCCCCUUCAGUGACCAUCCUGUCCUCCUAGCCGAGGUACUGCAGCCAAGGGACCGUGAGAGAAUGGGGAGUUCUGGGAUUUGGGUUCUUUAUACCUCCUUGGAGGGAGGGAGGGAGGCCGCAGGCACCUGGACAACCGAACCGGGGGUUCCUGGGAACCGAAGGGGGUUGACGGAGGAAAGGUUUUCUAAAUGCGCCACGACCUCAUUCUUCCAGGAACCCCUAGCUGAGUAGGCAGAGGGCAAAGGGUAAACCUUGAACCCAUUGCCUGAUGGAGUCCCGGCCUUCCCUCCCUCUCUCUUUCCCUCCGAAUCUUGAAGGAUAAGAAGGAUCCCCGACCCUCAGGAAGCGUAAAGCUUGUAAAGUUAACCCGUCCCUAAACGGCUUUGUGAACAUACCUGCAUCCUCACCUCACUCUAUCUCUAGGUGCUGGAUUCCAAUUUUAGACUGUCUCAAAUUAGCCAUAAAGAGGGGGAGUAAAUACCAGAGGAGCUCAAGUCCUCUUGGGCUAGUGAAGUGUAAGCAAUGACCUCUUCAAAAACAUUCUGCCUGUCACUUGCCGCCACCACCAUCACCCACUUCAGGGCUGAUUGUUGGAUACUGGGUGCAGGACCACCGAGGGACAGUGUUGGGAAUGAUUAAUGCAACCCAGCCCUGCCACCAUUGAUGCAAUUUUUCUUGACCUCUCCAUUUCCCCUUUUCUAAACUGUUUCUAACACAGUUGGUGCUGGUUUCACAGCUAAUCAACACCCACACUGCCUGUCUCCCACCCAAGGACACUGAGGGCUUAGAUGAAAAGGCACCUGAUUCUGGCAUCCAUUGCACAUCGGUGGGCAGACUGUGUGCACCUGCCAAGAGCACAUGGAGGCAGGAGGCCCCACCUGGCGUCACCAACUGGCUGUUGAAAACUGCAGAACGCUAUUUUGAUCUUAAAUAUUCUCUUAGGCUACUAUGUGGAGAAGGCGACGGCACCCCACUCCAGCACUCUUGCCUGGAAAAUCCCAUGGAUGGAGGAGGCUGGAGGAGCCUGGUCUAGCACCAUCCCAUCCUUCACUCACGGUUCAGAGAAGCUGACAGCUACGGCGGAGAAAACAAAUACAUGAACCUGGUUCUGACAGGCCCACACACAACUCUUAUGGAUCAGGAUCAAAGGAGCUAAAACUCAGUAAGGCCCAGGCACAGCUUUGCCAACUGGUCUCUUCCCUAAACUUCUCAGAUGUAAAUUCUUCCCUCCUCCAGGGAGGAGUCCUUUCCUUCAGCUUGGGACUUAAGACUUUCACCAAAAAUGUGUCCAUGUGCACAUAUGCAUGAGUUUGUCCUAGGGGUUCGCAACUGCAAACACCUCGCUGCUUGGUGCUGCCCUGGAAGCUGUGUUGAUGGCCAGGAAUCCACUUUUUAAAAAAAGAUAAAAUGAGUUUUCUGUGUAUCUUUUCCAGGAAAAAGAUGCUUAAAAUCCAAAUCACUUUAUUGUGUGGCAGUUAGCGCUGGCAAAGUCUCAGCUUUUCCUGUCACCCCCUACUCAUUCAGGAUGCCAAGGUCAAAGUCCAUUGAGGCCUCCUAAUCCUCCCCCCUUUUUUUCUUUGAGUGCAGAGCUGGGCUUAUAUAAUUUGAGUCUUAAGUACUGAUAUUUGUCUCUUAAUUGGAGAUGGUGAGGUGCCCUAAUAGUAGGGGAGAUUUCUAGGUAGAAAAAGAAACGCAGGAAUUACAGAAGCUGCAUCAAGGUCAUUGGGGUGGGGGGAGUGGAAAGGGGAUGCAAAGGCAAAGGCCUUUGUAGAGCUUUCAGUUUGCAAAAUGGUCCAAGAACCUGAGGUAGGCCUGGCGCUGGGGUGCAGCUGCUGGAAUGAAGUGGCCACCAGAGUGGGUAAGAGUGACGGCUCCAUCGAAUCGGCUACACAGCUGCAUACUCUCCUGAGAGGGGAUAACGCCGUCAGUGUCCCCAAAGACAUGGAGGGAAGGCAGUGACAAGGGGCCCUGCAUGAUGGGUUCCAUGAGGCCAAGGCCCCGCGGGCAGAAACCAGAUACGAGGAUGACAAACCGGGGCAAAGGGAAGCGGGGAUCGCCGCCUUGGCCAAGGGCACACACAAGGGCGGCCAGCGCGGCCCCCUGGCUGAAACCAAGGAUCCCAUCGAAAGGCCCCAGCUUGUUCAGUGCCUGUGCCACCGUUCCCAGAGCUUCCUCCAGACCUCUGCACGCCGUGGGCUCUUCCAAGGCCAAGAAAACGUCUGCCUCCUGUUCGGAAAACCACCAGCCUCGAGGCUGCUCUUCCGGAGGGCAGGGUCCUACGGCGACGAAGGAGAGAGUACAGAGUUAAGGCAAGGGGAAAUCCAGGGGAAAAGAAAUAAAGGGAGUGAGGGAGGGUUUGGGAAUGAGGGAAAGAGAGGUGGUUAAGGCAGAGUAGCAAGUCUGGGGAAAAUGAGGCGGGGAACACACUGACCUGGAGAGGAGAUGGAUAGAAGUCUGGGAGGGCCAGGCAGGAAUAUAAGCAAGGGGCUAGGUUGGCAGAGAUGGCGUGGUGUAUGGGCAGAAUGAAGUGGGAGGAUGGCAGGAAUGUGGGGAGGGACAGGGUGGCUGUGUGCAGGCAGGUGUUACGCGGACGAGGCAAGACAGAAAACUCUGGGCGCAUUUCCGGGCAGGGCUCCUCUCACCGGAGUCUGGCCUGGCGCCCUCCGACCCCGCUGCGUCCACGACCGGGUGCGGGCCGCUGAGGCACACGAGCUCUGCGCGGCCCCGCAGCGCCUUCCGCAGCGCUCCGGUCUUUUCACGGAAGCCCCGCUCGCUCUGCCGAAAACCCGCCAGACACAAAAUCCGCAGAAGCGGCUGCGCAGCCAUCCUGCAUAGCGCGUGCGCGCCAGAGGAACCGGAAGCAGCCUUUCCCCGAGCGGAACUUGAAGACGAAGGGCGGGACCCAAUACAGCCACAACCCUGGAGGCGGGCCUCAGAGCAAGCGAACAUUGCCAUGACAACGGGGAAGAGGGUGCGGCAGGUCCACAAGUAGGGCUGAUACCUGGGAACCAGGAGCGUCUCAGGGAGCGAUCGGCGACACCUCCUCGUCUCUGCAGCUGCAAGCCUCGCAAGCCGCGGCUGGAGAGGGGCGCGCGGGCCCUCCCUGAACCUGGGGUGGCAGACUUUGGUCACGGUCCCGCUUCUGCGACGUUCCCCACCCCGCUGUCGUGCAUUUCCCUUAGCGGCCGCAGGGCGGCGGCCUCGGCUCGCGCCGCCUGGGCGGCCGCGCCCAGGCCCCUCGGUCUUCUUGGUGUCCCUUCCUACCUUCCCCAGAGCCAGCCGGCCUGGGACCUGGAGCAGCCGAUCCCGCCCGUGGUUCACCGUCCACGGCCCCAAGGAGCUGCUGGCGUAGAAGUCCAUAGGGUAGGGCUGCUGCCAGGAAAUGUCCCUCAAGGCCACCGCCGCCUGGGGGAGAAAAUCUGGACAGUAACAUUUGCGGACAUUUUUCUACGCAGGAUUAUUUAAUUCAGUCCUCACGAUGACCUACGAAGGUCCUAUUAUACCCAUAGCAUAGAAAGGAAAUGUGAGGUUCAGAGAGCAGGAAGGGACUUGCGCAAGGCCACACAGCUAGGAAGUGCCUCCGCUGUAACCUAAGUGCUGCUCCACUGAGGACCCCUUCCAGGACAGAACUAAGGGUAAAGCCCAUUCUCCCCCAGGGAUUUUCAGAACCUAGUGUUACCUCAUAGGGCGUGAGCAGCGGCUUGGGGAAGGCUGUACCCCAGUCAAUGGACAGGCGUGGACAUGCCACCUGCACCCACCUAUAAGAAGGGAAAUCAGGUCAGAUCCUGGGGGAGGGGGUAGCCUCCCUGUUCCUGCCAGCAUGCUGAAGAACAUGACUGUGUCCCCAACACACUCAACGGGGCUUACUAUUAAUUUGAAAGUAAAGACUGUCGCCCACUGCUGUUUAGAAUAGCACUAUGGCAUUGUUUUC
Molecule: long non-coding RNA, 5572 nt
Organism: Bubalus bubalis (water buffalo)
Lineage: Eukaryota; Metazoa; Chordata; Mammalia; Artiodactyla; Bovidae
Exons: 2
Source: RefSeq, a predicted model, not a curated record